AAGACAGAGGUGGCGAGCGUUACCCGGAUUCACUGGGCGUAAAGGGUGCGUAGAAACUUGUGCGUGUCGUCGGUGAAAUCUCCCUGCUCAACGGGGAGAGGUCCGACGAAACUGCACGGCUGGAGGGCCGGAGAGGGAGAAACAACUUCCGGAGUAAAACUGAAAUGCGUAGAUACCGGAAGGUACCUCAAUAGCGAAGGCAGCCUCCUGGCCGGUUCCUGACGCUGAGGCACGAAAGCGUGGGGAGCAAACCGGAUUAGAUACCCGGGUAGUCCACGCCCUAAACGAUGCCGACUAGGUGUUGGCCUCGCACAUGCUGGGCCAGUGCCGCAGCUAACGCGAUAAGUCGGCCGCCUGGGGUGUACGGCCGCAAGGUU
Molecule: ribosomal RNA, 377 nt
Filed under: uncultured bacterium
Lineage: Bacteria
Description: bacterial SSU rRNA
Rfam family: Bacterial small subunit ribosomal RNA
Source: RNAcentral